Oncorhynchus keta (chum salmon) is the source of this 6214-nucleotide long non-coding RNA. RefSeq lists it as uncharacterized. NCBI's taxonomy places the organism in Eukaryota, Metazoa, Chordata, Actinopteri, Salmoniformes, Salmonidae. The transcript has 3 exons. The record is from RefSeq and is a predicted model, not a curated record.
GCUGUCAUUCAUAUUAACCCAGGUCACUGUAACAGUGACAGGUUUAGGUUACUGUCAUUCAUAUUCAUCCAGUUCAAUGUAACAGUGACAGGUUUAGGUUACUGUCAUUCAUAUUCACCCAGUUCAAUGUAACAGUGACAGGUUUAGGUUACUGUCAUUCAUAUUCAUCCAGUUCAAUGUAACAGCGAUAGGUUUAGGUUACUGUCAUUCAUAUUCACCCAGUUCAAUGUAACAGUGACAGGUUUAGGUUACUGUCAUUCAUAUUCAUCCAGUUCAAUGUAACAGUGACAGGUUUAGGUUACUACAUGAUACUAGAAUGUUCCCUGUACCCAUCAUGAGGUUGCUACUAGAAUGUUCCCUGUACCCAUCAUGAGGUUGCUACUAGAAUGUUCCCUGUACCCAUCAUGAGGUUGCUACUAGAAUGUUCCCUGUACCCAUCAUGAGGUUGCUACUAGAAUGUUCCCUGUACCCAUCAUGAGGUUGCUACUAGAAUGUUCCCUGUACCCAUCAUGAGGUUGCUACUAGAAUGUUCCCUGUACCCAUCAUGAGGUUGCUACUAGAAUGUUCCCUGUACCCAUCAUGAGGUUGCUACUAGAAUGUUCCCUGUACCCAUCAUGAGGUUGCUACUAGAAUGUUCCCUGUACCCAUCAUGAGGUUGCUACUAGAAUGUUCUCUGAACCCAUCAUGAGGUUGCUACUAGAAUGUUCUCUGAACCCAUCAUGAGGUUGCUACUAGAAUGUUCUCUGAACCCAUCAUGAGGUUGCUACUAGAAUGUUCUCUGAACCCAUCAUGAGGUUGCUACAGCCUAUGAAUUCAAGUUUACAACGUAGAGAGUGUCGAGAGAUACAUUUGAGUCAUCAAGGUGACAGACGAUUGACACAUUUAAUACUGUCUUGUACACUCUUGUCUGCAUCUAGUUGAUAUCGGGUCUAAUCAUUAGUCCAACAGUUGCAAACGAGAGUUUCUAUUGGACAAAUUCAGGCAUUCAGUUUCCUUCAGAUUUAAACAUGUUUUUCUUUUUUUUCUUGAAUUUUACCCCCUUUUCUCCCCAAUUUCAUGGUAUCCAAUUGUUUUAGUAGCUACUAUCUUGUCUCAUCGCUACAACUCCCGUACGGGCUCGGGAGAGACGAAGGUUGAAAGUCAUGCGUCCUCCGAAACACAACCCAACCAAGCCGCACUGCUUCUUAACACAGCGCGCAUCCAACCCGGAAGCCAGCCGCACCAAUGCGCCGGAGGAAACACCGUGCACCUGGCCACCUUGGCUAGCGCGCACUGCGCCCAACCCGCCACAGGAGUCGCUGGUGCGCGAUGAGACAAGGACAUCCCUACCGACCAAGCCCUCCCUAACCCGGGCGACGCUAGGCCAAUUGUGCGUCGCCCCACGGACCUCCCGGUCGCGGCCAGUUACGACAGAGCCUGGGCGCGAACCCAGGGACUCUGAUGGCACAGCUGGCGCUGCAGUACAGCGCCCUUAACCACUGCGCCACCCGGGAGGCCCUUAAAAAUGUUUUUCAACAGAAUUGGCGGAAUGAAUACACCCCUGAUUACAUACAUUACCACUGUCAUAGCAGCCACGUACAAACAGCAUUAUCACUGUCAUAGUAGCCAUCAUACAAACAGCAUGAUCACUGUCAUAGCAGCCACAUACAAACAGCAUGAUCACUGUCAUAGCAGACACAUACAAACAGCAUGAUCACUGUCAUAGCAGACACAUACAAACAGCAUGAUCACUGUCAUAGCAGACACAUACAAACAGCAUGAUCACUGUCAUAGCAGACACAUACAAACAGCAUGAUCACUGUCAUAGCAGACAUCAUACAAACAGCAUGAUCACUGUCAUAGCAGCCAUCAUACAAACAGCAUGACCACUGUCAUAGCAGACACAUACAAACAGCAUGAUCACUGUCAUAGCAGACACAUACAAACAGCAUGAUCACUGUCAUAGCAGCCAUCAUACAAACAGCAUGAUCACUGUCAUAGCAGACAUCAUACAAACAGCAUGAUCACUGUCAUAGCAGCCACAUACAAACAGCAUGACCACUGUCAUAGCAGACACAUACAAACAGCAUGAUCACUGUCAUAGCAGACACAUACAAACAGCAUGAUCACUGUCAUAGCAGCCAUCAUACAAACAGCAUGACCACUGUCAUAGCAGCCAUCAUACAAACAGCAUGAUCACUGUCAUAGCAGCCAUCAUACAAACAGCAUGAUCACUGUCAUAGCAGCCAUCAUACAAACAGCAUGAUCACUGUCAUAGCAGACACAUACAAACAGCAUGAUCACUGUCAUAGCAGACACAUACAAACAGCAUGAUCACUGUCAUAGCAGACACAUACAAACAGCAUGAAAUGUAAUGAUCACUGUCAUUGCAGACACAUACAAACAGCAUGAUCACUGUCAUAGCAGACACAUACAAACAGCAUGAUCACUGUCAUAGCAGACACAUACAAACAGCAUGAUCACUGUCAUAGCAGCCAUCAUACAAACAGCAUGAUCACUGUCAUAGCAGACACAUACAAACAGCAUGAUCACUGUCAUAGCAGCCAUCAUACAAACAGCAUGAUCACUGUCAUAGCAGCCACAUACAAACAGCAUGAUCACUGUCAUAGCAGCCAUCAUACAAACAGCAUGAUCACUGUCAUAGCAGACACAUACAAACAGCAUGAUCACUGUCAUAGCAGACACAUACAAACAGCAUGAUCACUGUCAUAGCAGACACAUACAAACAGCAUGAUCACUGUCAUAGCAGACACAUACAAACAGCAUGAUCACUGUCAUAGCAGACACAUACAAACAGCAUGAUCACUGUCAUAGCAGACACAUACAAACAGCAUGAUCACUGUCAUAGCAGACACAUACAAACAGCAUGAUCACUGUCAUAGCAGACACAUACAAACAGCAUGAUCACUGUCAUAGCAGCCACAUACAAACAGCAUGAUCACUGUCAUAGCAGACACAUACAAACAGCAUGAUCACUGUCAUAGCAGACACAUACAAACAGCAUGAUCACUGUCAUAGCAGACACAUACAAACAGCAUGAUCACUGUCAUAGCAGACACAUACAAACAGCAUGAUCACUGUCAUAGCAGACACAUACAAACAGCAUGAUCACUGUCAUAGCAGACACAUACAAACAGCAUGAUCACUGUCAUAGCAGCCACAUACAAACAGCAUGAUCACUGUCAUAGCAGCCAUCAUACAAACAGCAUGAUCACUGUCAUAGCAGACACAUACAAACAGCAUGAUCACUGUCAUAGCAGACACAUACAAACAGCAUGAUCACUGUCAUAGCAGCCACAUACAAACAGCAUGAUCACUGUCAUAGCAGCCAUCAUACAAACAGCAUGAUCACUGUCAUAGCAGCCAUCAUACAAACAGCAUGAUCACUGUCAUAGCAGCCAUCAUACAAACAGCAUGAUCACUGUCAUAGCAGACACCAUACAAACAGCAUGAUCACUGUCAUAGCAGACACAUACAAACAGCAUGAUCACUGUCAUAGCAGCCAUCAUACAAACAGCAUGAUCACUGUCAUAGCAGCCACAUACAAACAGCAUGAUCACUGUCAUAGCAGCCAUCAUACAAACAGCAUGAUCACUGUCAUAGCAGACACAUACAAACAGCAUGAUCACUGUCAUAGCAGACACAUACAAACAGCAUGAUCACUGUCAUAGCAGACACCAUACAAACAGCAUGAUCACUGUCAUAGCAGACACAUACAAACAGCAUGAUCACUGUCAUAGCAGACACAUACAAACAGCAUGAUCACUGUCAUAGCAGACAUCAUACAAACAGCAUGAUCACUGUCAUAGCAGACACAUACAAACAGCAUGAUCACUGUCAUAGCAGACACAUACAAACAGCAUGAUCACUGUCAUAGCAGUCACAUACAAACAGCAUGAUCACUGUCAUAGCAGUCACAUACAAACAGCAUGAUCACUGUCAUAGCAGACACAUACAAACAGCAUGAUCACUGUCAUAGCAGACACAUACAAACAGCAUGAUCACUGUCAUAGCAGACACAUACAAACAGCAUGAUCACUGUCAUAGCAGACACAUACAAACAGCAUGAUCACUGUCAUAGCAGACACAUACAAACAGCAUGAUCACUGUCAUAGCAGACACAUACAAACAGCAUGAUCACUGUCAUAGCAGCCACAUACAAACAGCAUGACCACUGUCAUAGCAUGAUCACUGUCAUAGCAGACACAUACAAACAGCAUGAUCACUGUCAUAGCAGACACAUACAAACAGCAUGAUCACUGUCAUAGCAGACACAUACAAACAGCAUGAUCACUGUCAUAGCAGCCAUCAUACAAACAGCAUGAUCACUGUCAUAGCAGCCAUCAUACAAACAGCAUGAUCACUGUCAUAGCAGACACAUACAAACAGCAUGAUCACUGUCAUAGCAGCCAUCAUACAAACAGCAUGAUCACUGUCAUAGCAGCCACAUACAAACAGCAUGAUCACUGUCAUAGCAGCCAUCAUACAAACAGCAUGAUCACUGUCAUAGCAGCCAUCAUACAAACAGCAUGAUCCCUGUCAUAGCAGCCAUCAUACAAACAGCAUGAUCCCUGUCAUAGCAGACACAUACAAACAGCAUGAUCACUGUCAUAGCAGACACAUACAAACAGCAUGAUCACUGUCAUAGCAGCCAUCAUACAAACAGCAUGAUCACUGUCAUAGCAGACACAUACAAACAGCAUGAUCCCUGUCAUAGCAGACACAUACAAACAGCAUGAUCACUGUCAUAGCAGACACAUACAAACAGCAUGAUCACUGUCAUAGCAGACACAUACAAACAGCAUGAUCACUGUCAUAGCAGACACAUACAAACAGCAUGAUCACUGUCAUAGCAGCCAUCAUACAAACAGCAUGAUCACUGUCAUAGCAGACACAUACAAACAGCAUGAUCACUGUCAUAGCAGACACAUACAAACAGCAUGAUCACUGUCAUAGCAGACACAUACAAACAGCAUGAUCCCUGUCAUAGCAGACACAUACAAACAGCAUGAUCACUGUCAUAGCAGACACAUACAAACAGCAUGACCACUGUCAUAGCAGACACAUACAAACAGCAUGAUUACUGUCAUAGCAGACACAUACAAACAGCAUGAUCACUGUCAUAGCAGCCAUCAUACAAACAGCAUGAUCCCUGUCAUAGCAGACACAUACAAACAGCAUGACCACUGUCAUAGCAGACACAUACAAACAGCAUGAUCACUGUCAUAGCAGACACAUACAAACAGCAUGAUCACUGUCAUAGCAGACACAUACAAACAGCAUGAUCACUGUCAUAGCAGCCAUCAUACAAACAGCAUGAUCACUGUCAUAGCAGACACAUACAAACAGCAUGAUCACUGUCAUAGCAGACAUCAUACAAACAGCAUGAUCACUGUCAUAGCAGACACAUACAAACAGCAUGAUCACUGUCAUAGCAGACACAUACAAACAGCAUGAUCACUGUCAUAGCAGACACAUACAAACAGCAUGAUCACUGUCAUAGCAGACACAUACAAACAGCAUGAUCACUGUCAUAGCAGACACAUACAAACAGCAUGAUCACUGUCAUAGCAGACACAUACAAACAGCAUGAUCACUGUCAUAGCAGACACAUACAAACAGCAUGAUCACUGUCAUAGCAGACACAUACAAACAGCAUGAUCACUGUCAUAGCAGCCACAUACAAACAGCAUGAUCACUGUCAUAGCAGACACAUACAAACAGCAUGAUCACUGUCAUAGCAGACACAUACAAACAGCAUGAUUACUGUCAUAGCAGACACAUACAAACAGCAUGAUCACUGUCAUAGCAGACACAUACAAACAGCAUGAUCACUGUCAUAGCAGACACAUACAAACAGCAUGAUCACUGUCAUAGCAGACACAUACAAACAGCAUGAUCACUGUCAUAGCAGCCACAUACAAACAGCAUGAUCACUGUCAUAGCAGCCAUCAUACAAACAGCAUGAUCACUGUCAUAGCAGACACAUACAAACAGCAUGAUCACUGUCAUAGCAGACACAUACAAACAGCAUGAUCACUGUCAUAGCAGACACAUACAAACAGCAUGAUCACUGUCAUAGCAGCCAUCAUACAAACAGCAUGAUCACUGUCAUAGCAGCCAUCAUACAAACAGCAUGAUCACUGUCAUAGCAGCCAUCAUACAAACAGCAUGAUCACUGUCAUAGCAGCCAUCAUACAAACAGCAUGAUCAC